UAGGGAAUCUUCCGCAAUGGACGCAAGUCUGACGGAGCAACGCCGCGUGAGUGAAGAAGGAUUUCGGUUCGUAAAACUCUGUUGUUAGAGAAGAACAGCGCAUAGAGUAACUGUUAUGCGUGUGACGGUAUCUAACCAGAAAGCCACGGCUAACUACGUGCCAGCAGCCGCGGUAAUACGUAGGGGGCUAGCGUUGUCCGGAAUCACUGGGCGUAAAGGGUUCGCAGGCGGAAAUGCAAGUCAGGUGUAAAAGGCAGUAGCUUAACUACUGUAAGCAUUUGAAACUGCAUAUCUUGAGAAGAGUAGAGGUAAGUGGAAUUUUUAGUGUAGCGGUGAAAUGCGUAGAUAUAUGGAGGAACACCGGUGGCGAAAGCGGCUCUCUGGUCUGUAACUGACGCUGAGGCUCGAAAGCGUGGGGAGCGAACAGG
This 428-nucleotide ribosomal RNA is filed under the name Bacteroidota bacterium. RNAcentral's name for it is "Bacteroidetes bacterium partial 16S ribosomal RNA". It matches the Rfam family "Bacterial small subunit ribosomal RNA", at positions 355 to 776 of the family's 1533-position model. Lineage: Bacteria; Pseudomonadati; Bacteroidota. The record is from RNAcentral.